GACUCUGGCUCCCGUGGCUGGCCCUAUGCUGGCUGUCCUCUAGGUCGCAAGCUGUGGCCACCAUUUUCCAAACCAUAUGGGACUUACCCGCUCGAUACCCAGGAAUUGCCCCCUCGGAUGUAUCCUGUUCAAUUGGGAAAGAUUUGAUCCGGAAAAGCUGGACAAACAGAAGGUUUCUCAGACCUUUGAACCAGGUACCAAAUGCUACAUUUGUCGGCGACUGGGUCAUUCGGCUAGGAAUUGCCCUAACCAGAACAAGCCUCCUCAGAUGCCAUGUGUCCAU
This is a long non-coding RNA of Echinops telfairi (small Madagascar hedgehog), 283 nucleotides long. RefSeq lists it as uncharacterized. NCBI's taxonomy places the organism in Eukaryota, Metazoa, Chordata, Mammalia, Afrosoricida, Tenrecidae. The transcript is spliced from 3 exons. The record is from RefSeq and is a predicted model, not a curated record.